CGGUGUUUAACUGGCGUGAUGUGGGACGUCCUACCGGUGGGCUUAGCCUCGCGAGGGGCGGCCCAACUAAUAUCCCGUCGCGGUGCUCUUUACUGAGUGUCGAGUCGGGCCGGUACGUUUACUUUGAACAAAUUAGAGUGCUUAAAGCAGGCUAUCCUCGCCUGAAUACUGCGUGCAUGGAAUAAUGGAAUAGGACCUCGGUUCUAUUUUGUUGGUUUUCGGAACCCCGAGGUAAUGAUUAAUAGGGACAGAUGGGGGCAUUCGUAUUGCGACGUUAGAGGUGAAAUUCUUGGAUCGUCGCAAGACGGACAGAAGCGAAAGCAUUUGCCAAAAAUGUUUUCAUUAAUCAAGAACGAAAGUUAGAGGUUCGAAGGCGAUCAGAUACCGCCCUAGUUCUAACCAUAAACGAUGCCAGCUAGCGAUCCGCCGAAGUUCCUCCGAUGACUCGGCGGGCAGCUUCCGGGAAACCAAAGCUUUUGGGUUCCGGGGGAAGUAUGGUUGCAAAGCUGAAACUUAAAGGAAUUGACGGAAGGGCACCACCAGGAGUGGAGCCUGCGGCUUAAUUUGACUCAACACGGGAAACCUCACCAGGCCCAGACACCGGAAGGAUUGACAGAUUGAUAGCUCCUUCUUGAUUCGGUGGGUGGUGGUGCAUGGGCCGUUCUUAGUUGGUGGAGCGAUUUGUCUGGUUAAUUCCGAUAACGAACGAGACUCUAGCCUGCUAAAUAGGCGUACCUUAUGGUAUCGCGAAGGCCCCCGGCUUCGGCCGGUGGGUUUUUACUACCAACGUACAAACAAAUCUUCUUAGAGGGACAGGCGG
This 820-nucleotide ribosomal RNA is filed under the name uncultured eukaryote. RNAcentral describes it as "SSU rRNA". It matches the Rfam family "Eukaryotic small subunit ribosomal RNA", at positions 629 to 1426 of the family's 1831-position model. The record is from RNAcentral.